GGCCAGGUGGCGUAGUAGUAUCGCACUCCGGAGACGGUAUCUUGGGUUGGGUGUGUCUUGGAGAGACGCGGGUUCAAUUCCUGUCUUAGCUA
Hypoxylon fuscum is the source of this 92-nucleotide non-coding RNA. The record is from the annotation of a GenBank genome assembly. Lineage: Eukaryota; Fungi; Ascomycota; Sordariomycetes; Xylariales; Hypoxylaceae.